CCAGCAACUUGGAGGAAUGAAUGGCGAGAGCCAAUUGGACCAUUUGUGGUACAAUAUCGAUUUAAUCGAAUAAAAUUCUAGGUAGAAUUAUGAUGAUGACAUUGUCUAUUUAUAUUUCUUGACCAAACUACGUGCCAGCAGUCGCGGUAAUACGUUACAGAUAAGUGUUAUUCAUCUUUAUUGGGUUUAAAGGGUACCUAGACGGUAAACCAAGCUAGCUAGUUUUGUUAGGUACUAGUUUACUAGAGUUAGAUAUGAGGCGGCAGAAGUACUGGUGGUAGAGAGAUGAAAUUCUGUUAUACUUUUUUUCACAUGGAUGGAUAAUGGCACUUGCAAUGGCAAAAGCAUCUUCUUAUGUGCUAACUGACGUUGAGGGACGAAGGCUCUCACGAACAAACAGGAUUAGAUACCCAUGUAGUUGGAUGCAGAAAAUGAUGAGUGUUAUAGAUUAGAUAUACAUUUACUCUAUAAAUUAUAGUGUAAGCACUCCACCUCAAGAGUAAUUUGGCAACAUUGGAACUGAAAUCAUUAGACCGUUUCUGAAACCAGUAGUGAAGUAUGUUGUUUAAUUUGAUAGUUCUCAAAAAACCUUACCACCAAAAGAUAAACUCUUGGUUCGAUAACAGGAUAAUAAAAAAUAAUAUUAUCGAGUGUCAUGUAUGUUUAUGUUAUGUUGCUUUUAUUAGCUUAUUGAUUUGAUAUGUUUCUAUUUACCAAUAAAUAAAUAAAAGCAAAUAAAUGUAAAUACAAGCGUUGCACGGUUGUCUUCAGUUAAUGUCGUGAGACUGUGGUUGGUGCCAUUAAAUUAACGUGAACCCUUAUUUUAUUUUUAUAUAAAAUAGUUCCCCACCCAUAUAGGAUAUGAUAACAGGGAACAAGACAAGCCAUCAUGACCUA
Molecule: ribosomal RNA, 897 nt
Filed under: Australidea canorufescens
Lineage: Eukaryota; Fungi; Ascomycota; Lecanoromycetes; Lecanorales; Malmideaceae
Description: SSU rRNA
Rfam family: Bacterial small subunit ribosomal RNA
Source: RNAcentral